GAUGAACGCUGGCGGCGUGCCUAAUACAUGCAAGUCGAGCGAACAGACGAUGAGCUUGCUCCUCUCACGUUAGCGGCGGACGGGUGUGUAACACGUGGAUAACCUACCUAUAUGACUGGGAUAAUCUCGGGACACCGGAGCUUAUCCCGGAUAAUAUCUUGAACCGCAGGGUUGAAUAGUGAGAUACGGUUUUUCUGUCACUUAUAGAUGGAUCUGGGCGGCAUUAGCUAGUUGUUACGUUAACGGCCUACCAAGGCAAGUAUGCGUAACCGACGGGAGAGGGUGGUCGGCCGCACUGGAACUGGAACACGGUCCAGACUACUACGGGAGGCAGCAGUCGGCAAUCUUACGCAAAGGGCGAGAGCCUGACGGAGCAACGCCGCGUGAGUGAUGAAGGUCUUCGGAUCGUAAAGCUCUGUUAUUAGGGAAGAACAAAUGUGUAAGUAACUAUGCACGUCUUGACGGUACCUAAUCAGAAAGCAACGGCUAACUACGUG
Molecule: ribosomal RNA, 497 nt
Filed under: uncultured bacterium
Lineage: Bacteria
Description: partial 16S ribosomal RNA
Rfam family: Bacterial small subunit ribosomal RNA
Source: RNAcentral